CUUAAGGAAGCGCUUCGUCCACGUGGAUAGAAAAUGCAUCCUUGAGGGCACAUUUUGUGUCCACGUAGACAAAGCGCUUCCUUGAAG
Molecule: non-coding RNA, 87 nt
Organism: Gossypium hirsutum (cotton)
Lineage: Eukaryota; Viridiplantae; Streptophyta; Magnoliopsida; Malvales; Malvaceae
Source: Rfam